GUGCUCGAUUCAGCAGUACAUAUACUAAAAUUGGGCUGACACAGGGAAGGUUAGCAUGGCUCCUGCACAAGGAUGAUAUGCAAAUUUGUGAAGCAUUCCAUAUUUUU
Small nuclear RNA from Loxodonta africana (African savanna elephant), 107 nucleotides. NCBI's taxonomy places the organism in Eukaryota, Metazoa, Chordata, Mammalia, Proboscidea, Elephantidae. The record is from Ensembl.